Molecule: long non-coding RNA, 284 nt
Filed under: Cyanistes caeruleus (blue tit)
Lineage: Eukaryota; Metazoa; Chordata; Aves; Passeriformes; Paridae
Description: lncRNA (ENSCCEG00000024358.1)
Source: RNAcentral
CCCAAUGCAAAGCUGGUGACCUCGGCCUACUGAGGCCUUGCUGUGGUAUUCCAUCUUCUGAAAGCUCUGGAGCCUCCACAGGAAAUGCAUCUUCUUUGUCUUCUGCAUGGAGUGAAGUUCAAUCUGAAGCAGUGAGAGUAAGAAGUGAGAGUGGAGUGUAGCAAGACAAAAUGUCCACUAUCAGGCUAAACAUGCCCAUCCACCGAAGGUAAAAGGAAUGGUUUAGGAAUGGAGGCACCUGUCAACCACCAGGACGUUUUUUUCACUGGCAUCUCAUUAUAUUU